AGUUUGAUCAUGGCUCAGGAUGAACGCUAGCGGCAGGCUUAACACAUGCAAGUCGAGGGUAGAGGAAGCUUGCUUCCUUGAGACCGGCGCACGGGUGCGUAACGCGUAUGCAAUCUACCUUAUACAGGGGGAUAGCCCAGAGAAAUUUGGAUUAAUACCCCAUAGUAUAAUUGAAUGGCAUCAUUUGAUUAUUAAAGUUCCAACGGUAUAAGAUGAGCAUGCGUCCCAUUAGCUAGUUGGUGUGGUAACGGCACACCAAGGCGACGAUGGUAGGGGUCCUGAGAGGAGAUCCCCCACACUGGUACUGAGACACGGACCAGACUCCUACGGGAGGCAGCAGUGAGGAAUAUUGGUCAAUGGGCGCAAGCCUGAACCAGCCAUGCCGCGUGCAGGAUGACGGUCCUAUGGAUUGUAAACUGCUUUUGUACAGGAAGAAACACUCCCUCGUGAGGGAGCUUGACGGUACUGUAAGAAUAAGGAUCGGCUAACUCCGUG
This 495-nucleotide ribosomal RNA is filed under the name uncultured bacterium. Its description in RNAcentral is "bacterial SSU rRNA". It matches the Rfam family "Bacterial small subunit ribosomal RNA", at positions 10 to 507 of the family's 1533-position model. The record is from RNAcentral.